UGCUGCAGAGGAUCCUGAAUGCCUCAUCUUCGUAGAGCUAUUUCCUAAUACCUAAGCUUUGAAAGAAUUUUAGGCAUUAAAAUAGUAGAUUCAUGGGUCAUUCAUGUCUCUAUUGUUUUAAUUGCGGCCUGAUCUAAUGUUGGGGGGAUUAGAAGAAGGAGGCAUAAACAAGAGGCUGUCGCACAAAAAUCUGCAUGCCUGUAGAUUUUCAGUACUUUGUCUCUUCUUCGAUUUGCUGAAUUAACACCCAAGUUCUCAUGCAAGAGAUCGGUCUAUGACUGAUAUUAGAGAGAUACCAAGAUACAAUAGUUGGUAACAGAGCCAGUUGAGCAUGG
Molecule: long non-coding RNA, 335 nt
Filed under: Elaeis guineensis (African oil palm)
Lineage: Eukaryota; Viridiplantae; Streptophyta; Magnoliopsida; Arecales; Arecaceae
Description: long non-coding RNA (EGUI_LNC037235)
Source: RNAcentral